GAUCCUGGCUCAGAAUCAACGCUGGCGGCGUGCCUAACACAUGCAAGUCGAACGCGAAAGCCCCGCAAGGGGUGAGUAGAGUGGCAAACGGGUGAGUAACACGUGGGUGAUCUGCCUCAGAGUGGGGGAUAACGACCCGAAAGGGUCGCUAAUACCGCAUAACAUCCUGCCUUUGGAUAGGCGGCGAUCAAAGCCUGGGAUCCGCAAGGACCAGGCGCUUAGAGAGGAGCCCGCGGCCGAUUAGCUAGUUGGUGAGGUAACGGCUCACCAAGGCGACGAUCGGUAUCCGGCCUGAGAGGGCGGACGGACACACUGGGACUGAGACACGGCCCAGACUCCUACGGGAGGCAGCAGUGGGGAAUUGUUCGCAAUGGGCGCAAGCCUGACGACGCAACGCCGCGUGGAGGACGAAGAUCUUCGGGUCGUAAACUCCUUUCGAUCGGGAAGAAUGGCUCCGGGGUUAACAGCCUCGGAGAAUGACGGUACCGAGAGAAGAAGCCCCGGCUAACUCUGUGCCAGCAGCCGCGGUAAUACAGGGGGGGCAAGCGUUGUUCGGAAUUACUGGGCGUAAAGGGCUCGUAGGCGGCCAACUAAGUCCGACGUGAAAUCCCAAAGCUUAACUUUGGAACUGCGUCGGAUACUGGAUGGCUUGAAUUCGGGAGAGGGAUGCAGAAUUCCAGGUGUAGCGGU
RNAcentral lists this ribosomal RNA (690 nucleotides) under uncultured Acidobacteriota bacterium. RNAcentral describes it as "bacterial SSU rRNA". It matches the Rfam family "Bacterial small subunit ribosomal RNA", at positions 15 to 682 of the family's 1533-position model. Lineage: Bacteria; Pseudomonadati; Acidobacteriota. The record is from RNAcentral.